This 350-nucleotide long non-coding RNA is filed under the name Setaria viridis. RNAcentral's name for it is "long non-coding RNA (SVIR_LNC005744)". The record is from RNAcentral. Lineage: Eukaryota; Viridiplantae; Streptophyta; Magnoliopsida; Poales; Poaceae.
UUCUUUUUGCAUAGUGUCAAAGUUGGGAGUUUGGAGGGAAGUAAACAAAGGUUGGCUUAAGUAACCAUGUCAAGGUUGAAUUAAUUAAAACAUGUUUUUUUUCAAUAGCAAAAUAAGCGUACGCAAUACACACGAUAGACAAUACUCCUAUCAACAUAUUGAGAUGAUAAAACACAUACACUCACCUCUAUAAAUGCAUGCAUAUAAAUUUUACCUGGCCUAUUAGCAUCUUGACAUUGACAAAAUACGAGCCCCCCGCCAAGUUGAUGACUUAAACCAGAUAGGUAGAUUAGAGACCCAAACAACUUAAGUUAUGCUCAAAACAUGUUCCGAUUAAGCUCGGAAUGAUA